This is a non-coding RNA of Podarcis lilfordi (Lilford's wall lizard), 71 nucleotides long. The record is from the annotation of a GenBank genome assembly. Lineage: Eukaryota; Metazoa; Chordata; Lepidosauria; Squamata; Lacertidae.
GGGAUGUAACUCAGGGGUUGAGCAUCUGCUUUGCAUGCAGAAGGUCACAGGUUUAAUCCCCAGCCUCACCA